RNAcentral lists this long non-coding RNA (466 nucleotides) under Cyanistes caeruleus (blue tit). Its description in RNAcentral is "lncRNA (ENSCCEG00000000123.1)". The record is from RNAcentral. Lineage: Eukaryota; Metazoa; Chordata; Aves; Passeriformes; Paridae.
AUGAAAGAAUUACCCUGGAGCUUGACACAAAGAGCAUGUGCACAUCUCUGUUCUACUGAUCAUCAUCAUCAGGAGAGCACUGGAAGAGUUUACUCAUCUAAGGUAGAGGAGUCCUUGUCCUUCCUGCAGGUCUUGCUCAGUGAAGCAAACCAAGUUGUCCUAGUCCUCUCAACUAAACACAGUGGCUGGAACUGCAUGAGACCCCAAGGACAGAGUGUGUUUUGCUGGAGUCACUACAACCUUCCACUUGUCUUCGUCAUGGCUGCAAGGUGUGGAGACAUCCGUGAUACACAUGUGCUUGUGUGUCUGUACAAGUGUACAUGUUUGUGUCUUCAUGUCAUUGCAAGAAACUCUAGGAAGAGCAGAGGCACCCAGACACAAGUCAGCAGUAUUGGUCCAGCAAGGGAAGUUCUGAACAAAAUGACCAGGAGGAUAAGAGAAAAAACAGCAGGGAGUGAUCAUUAAC